CUUGAUGAUAUUUUUUGCUGGGUGUCAUUGGCUAAGGAAGUAGAGCUAGUCAGUCAUCCAGAAACUGGAAUAUUGGCGGUUCGAUCCUUGCUCCCUCCACCCAGUAGUCGCUCUUGUGUCCCCUGACAAAGAUACUUCACCCACCUUGUCUCCAGAGCGGCCCACACUGGUGUAUGAAUGUGAAUGAAUGUUUCUUGGUGGUCGAAGAGGCCAUAGGCGUAAAUUGGAAACCAUUUUUCCAGCAGUGUACUACAGGGCAGCUGUGGCUACGGAUGUUGAUUCCACCACUUGUGUGUAACUGAGGAGUGAAUGGAUAAUGGCUUCACUUCAUUGUGAAGCACUUUGAGUAUCUUGUAAAAAGGUAUGGUUCUAAUUAAUAUUAACCCUUCCUUCACCUUGUUUAUUAAAACAUUUUUGAAAUAAGGAAGCUUGGCCACGUCAAGGGGUUUUCAUGAGACCGUUACUGCAUGUUGUGGGGGGUUUGGCAGUUUAACUGUCACUUGCGGCCCUGACUUGUGUGUUUGCUGUCUGUUCAUCCAUCUUGUAAUGUAUUGGCAUGGUGGUGUUGUGGCGCAACCCCGGGAUGCGAGGAAUGACACUCGAUUGCAGGCAAGAACAGAACAGGGCAACACAAAAACAUGGCAUUGACACAGGAGCGCAGGUGGAUAACGUGCAACUAAGAGACAAACUGGAGAUUGCCUUGGUCUGGACGGAAACAGGAUGACAUGGAGCAGAAGCGGGAUGCGUCUUUUCCACCAGACACUGACGAAGCAGCAGAAGAGGCAAAUUGUGCCUUCUGGCUUGCUGCAGUGAGCCCUGCGUCUUGACCAACAAGAAAGGGAGCAGAUUGUGCUUCCUCUAACGCACAGCAGAUGGCACCAUCUGGUGAAGGGGUGUCACACAGUAUGUUGAUACAAUAUGUUACCUAUUCUCCCUAGUCCUCUCCCUAGUCCUCUCCCUAGUCCUCUCCCUAGUGCUCAGUGUAGUUGCAUGUAGGUGUACACAGAUAUUUUUUGAAGUCGUUGCUCAGUUAUUUGUGUAAUGAUUUCAGUUUGUUCAUGUGGAACAAAAAACAGUGUACCUGUUAGAUCCGAGUGGAUAUGCUGCAGAAAAGAAGGCGUCAAAAAUGGCUGCAAACAAAACUAAAGUAAAUAUUUAUGCUUACAACUCACAUUAUGUAAAAUAAUACAUGUUUUUCCAGGGAAUACCUGCACAUGAGAAGGGUGCGCCACAAAGCAAAAGACUGGAUUGAUAUUGAUUGGGAAGGGGCGGUGAUGAAACAUCCACUGCAAAAGGAUGGAAGCAGUUGUGGUGUCAUCGUAGCCAAGGUAAUUUACGGGAUACAAUUGAGCAUAAUUGGACUUGAAACCUACUCUAUUAACAAAAUUAUGUCUAGAUGGCAAAGGAAAUUAUUCAGACGUUUCUAAGGAUCCCCAAUAUAAUGUUUUCUACAACGACAGACAGCAUGAGAACUGAAAGAAAAACAAUGGCCCUUGAACUUCUGCAGGGAUCAGUUUUCCAAAUGGAUUCCUGGUGUGUGAUCUGUGCCUCCAAAGACCCACCUACAUCUACUGCUGCCACAGCUACAUAGACUGUGAAGAGUGAUACUGGUUGGAUUUAAUGUGACAUAUGUGACCGGUGGUUUCACGGGGAAUGCGUUGGAAUAAAAAUUGACGAUCUCAAGAAAGCGGAAGAUAAUCACUGGCUUUGUCCUCUGUGC
Molecule: non-coding RNA, 1720 nt
Organism: Doryrhamphus excisus (bluestripe pipefish)
Lineage: Eukaryota; Metazoa; Chordata; Actinopteri; Syngnathiformes; Syngnathidae
Source: RefSeq, a predicted model, not a curated record